RNAcentral lists this ribosomal RNA (496 nucleotides) under uncultured bacterium. Its description in RNAcentral is "partial 16S ribosomal RNA". It matches the Rfam family "Bacterial small subunit ribosomal RNA", at positions 29 to 507 of the family's 1533-position model. The record is from RNAcentral.
AUGAACGCUGGCGGCGUGCCUAAUACAUGCAAGCCGAGCGAACGGACGAGAAGCUUGCUUCUCUGAUGUUAGCGGCGGACGGGUGAGUAACACGUGGAUAACCUACCUAUAAGACUGGGAUAACUUCGGGAAACCGGAGCUAAUACCGGAUAAUAUUUUGAACCGCAUGGUUCAAAAGUGAAAGACGGUCUUGCUGUCACUUAUAGAUGGAUCCGCGCUGCAUUAGCUAGUUGGUAAGGUAACGGCUUACCAAGGCAACGAUGCAUAGCCGACCUGAGAGGGUGAUCGGCCACACUGGAACUGAGACACGGUCCAGACUCCUACGGGAGGCAGCAGUAGGGAAUCUUCCGCAAUGGGCGAAAGCCUGACGGAGCAACGCCGCGUGAGUGAUGAAGGUCUUCGGAUCGUAAAACUCUGUUAUUAGGGAAGAACAUAUGUGUAAGUAACUGUGCACAUCUUGACGGUACCUAAUCAGAAAGCCACGGCUAACUACGUG